This 143-nucleotide unclassified non-coding RNA is filed under the name uncultured Capnodiales. RNAcentral's name for it is "sequence contains ITS1". The record is from RNAcentral. Lineage: Eukaryota; Fungi; Ascomycota; Dothideomycetes; Capnodiales.
CCGAGUGAGGGCCCCCGGCCCGACCUCCAACCCUUUGUUGACCAACACCUGUUGCCUCGGGGGCGACCCGGCCUCCGCGCCGGGGUCCUGGUGGACCAUUCCAACUCUGUGUCUGUACGUCGGAGUACUUAGCGAAUCAAUCA